CAGUUAGCUGGUGACACUUGG
Molecule: unclassified non-coding RNA, 21 nt
Filed under: Mus musculus (house mouse)
Lineage: Eukaryota; Metazoa; Chordata; Mammalia; Rodentia; Muridae
Description: oocyte_clustered_small_RNA11213
Source: RNAcentral